CUGGCCGCUGAGGACUGGUGCAGAGUAG
Molecule: non-coding RNA, 28 nt
Filed under: Cricetulus griseus (Chinese hamster)
Lineage: Eukaryota; Metazoa; Chordata; Mammalia; Rodentia; Cricetidae
Source: RNAcentral